GAUGAACGCUGGCGGCGUGCCUAACACAUGCAAGUCGAGCGAAAAGACGAGGACCUUGCUCGCCUGACGUCAGCGGGGGACGGGAGAGUAACACGUGGAUAACCUACCUAUAAGACAGGGAUAACAUCGGGAAACCAGAGCUAAUACCGGAUAAUAUAUUGAACCGGGUGGUUCAAGAGUGAAAGACGGUUUUGCGGUCACUUAUAGAUGAAUCCGCGCCGCAUUAGCUAGUUGGUAAGGUAACUGCUUACCAAGGCAACGAUGCGUAGCCGACCUGAGAGGGUGGUCGGCCACCCUGGAACUGAGACACGGCCCAGACUCCUACGGGAGGCAGCAGUCGGGAAUCUUCCGCAAUGGGCGAAAGCCUGAUGGAGCAACGCCGCGUGAAGGAUGAAGGUCUUCGGAUCGUAAAAUUCUGUUGUUAGGGAAGAACAAAUGCGUUAUUAACUAGGCACGUCUUGACGGUACCGAAAGAGAAAGCCACGGCUAACUCCGUG
RNAcentral lists this ribosomal RNA (497 nucleotides) under uncultured bacterium. RNAcentral's name for it is "partial 16S ribosomal RNA". It matches the Rfam family "Bacterial small subunit ribosomal RNA", at positions 28 to 507 of the family's 1533-position model. The record is from RNAcentral.